This 21-nucleotide ribosomal RNA is filed under the name uncultured bacterium. RNAcentral's name for it is "partial 16S ribosomal RNA". The record is from RNAcentral.
UGCGGCUGGAUCCCCCCCUUU